Molecule: ribosomal RNA, 441 nt
Filed under: uncultured bacterium
Lineage: Bacteria
Description: partial 16S ribosomal RNA
Rfam family: Bacterial small subunit ribosomal RNA
Source: RNAcentral
CCUACGGGAGGCAGCAGUGGGGGAUAUUGCACAAUGGGGGGAACCCUGAUGCAGCGACGCCGCGUGGGUGAAGGAGCGCUUCGGCGCGUAAAGCCCUAUCGGCAGGGAAGAAGAAGGACGGUACUUGACUAAGAAGCCCCGGCUAACUACGUGCCAGCAGCCGCGGUAAUAGGGAGGGGGCAAGCGUGAUCCGGUGUUACUGGGUGUAAAGGGGGCGCAGACGGCAGCGCAAGCCAGGAGUGAAAGCCCGGGGCCCAACCCCGGGAAUGCUCUUGAAACUGCGCGGCUGGAGUGCAGGAGGGGCAGGCGGAAGUCCUGGUGUAGCGGUGAAAUGCGUAGAUAUCAGGAGGAACACCGGUGGCGAAGGCGGCCUGCUGGACUGCGACUGACGUUGAGGCCCGAAAGCGUGGGGAGCAAACAGGAUUAGAUACCCGUGUAGUC